GCUUUGGUGGCGGAAUGGUAGACGCGGCGCACUCAGAAUGCGUUGUCUUGUGACGUGUGGGUUCGACUCCCACCUGAAGCA
Molecule: transfer RNA, 81 nt
Filed under: Bifidobacterium pseudocatenulatum
Lineage: Bacteria; Bacillati; Actinomycetota; Actinomycetes; Bifidobacteriales; Bifidobacteriaceae
Also listed under: 1 other name
Description: tRNA-Leu
Rfam family: tRNA
About the family: Transfer RNA (tRNA) molecules are approximately 80 nucleotides in length. Their secondary structure includes four short double-helical elements and three loops (D, anti-codon, and T loops).
Source: RNAcentral